GGUGGUUCUCAGGUGACGCACCCUGGAACCAGAGAGGAGGGAGCCCAAUUCCAGGGUGUGUCACCCAAGAACCGCC
Molecule: non-coding RNA, 76 nt
Organism: Myotis lucifugus (little brown bat)
Lineage: Eukaryota; Metazoa; Chordata; Mammalia; Chiroptera; Vespertilionidae
Source: Rfam